GAUGAAGAACGUAGCGAAAUGCGAUACGUAAUGUGAAUUGCAGAAUUCAGUGAAUCAUCGAAUCUUUGAACGCACAUUGCGCCCGCCAGUAUUCUGGCGGGCAUGCCUGUUCGAGCGUCAUUUCAACCAUCAAGCCCCCGGCUUGUGUUGGGGACCUGCGGCUGCCGCAGGCCCUGAAAACCAGUGGCGGGCUCGCUAGUCACUCCGAGCGUAGUAGUUACAUCUCGCUCAGGGCGUGCUGCGGGUUCCGGCCGUUAAAAGCCUUAUUUACCCAAGGUUGACCUCGGAUCAGGUAGGAAGACCCGAUGAACUUAAGCAUAUCAAUAAGCGGAGGA
Molecule: unclassified non-coding RNA, 335 nt
Filed under: soil metagenome
Description: partial contains 5.8S ribosomal RNA, internal transcribed spacer 2, and large subunit ribosomal RNA
Rfam family: 5.8S ribosomal RNA (bases 1-120)
Source: RNAcentral